AUUAAAAUUCGUUGUUGAAAAACAGUAAGCAGAUUUAUUCAGAAAAGUCUGUAACUAAUUUCAUACGAAAAUGGCAUCAAUGUUAUUCAAGUUAAACGUUGUACUUAUGGUGCUAUGCGUCUGUACGACCUUUAUCCAUUCAUCGUCACAAAAUCCUCCUUCGCCAAAACCUGAUAAUGACAGUGACGAAACUGAAGUUAAGACUCCUGAAGCAGGUAA
This is a long non-coding RNA of Myzus persicae (green peach aphid), 219 nucleotides long. RefSeq lists it as uncharacterized. The transcript is spliced from 3 exons. The record is from RefSeq and is a predicted model, not a curated record. NCBI's taxonomy places the organism in Eukaryota, Metazoa, Arthropoda, Insecta, Hemiptera, Aphididae.